AGUAUGUAAUUAUGUACAUAUAAGCAAGUGUAUUUUAAUUUGUAUUUUAAUCACUAAGUCUAGCCCUAGCUUAACCACUCAAUCUAACCUGCUUCACUUUCACAAUAGCACGGUCACCCUUGCGCUUACGUUGUCUAUUGUCUCUAUUGUCUUGCCCCAGCCCCAGGCCCCUUAGUUUCAAUAGCAGGGUGUUUUGUGGGUCAGCUAUCAUUUUCACUUCAGUCUGUCUGGUCACUGGUCACAGCUAGCAACAGCUUAUAACAGGUGUGGCAAACAUAGUUCCUGACGUUUGUGACGGUAACGGGCACAGUGCCAUACACUCGGGCCUUCUUCAGUUAUUGCCAUUAAACUGACAUCUAC
This is a long non-coding RNA of Haliotis rubra (blacklip abalone), 360 nucleotides long. RefSeq lists it as uncharacterized. The record is from RefSeq and is a predicted model, not a curated record. The transcript has 3 exons. NCBI's taxonomy places the organism in Eukaryota, Metazoa, Mollusca, Gastropoda, Lepetellida, Haliotidae.